This 430-nucleotide ribosomal RNA is filed under the name uncultured bacterium. RNAcentral's name for it is "bacterial SSU rRNA". It matches the Rfam family "Bacterial small subunit ribosomal RNA", at positions 354 to 796 of the family's 1533-position model. The record is from RNAcentral.
GUGGGGAAUAUUGCGCAAUGAGCGAAAGCUUGACGCAGCGACACCGCGUGCGGGAUGAAGGCCUUCGGGUUGUAAACCGCUUUCGGCAGGGACGAAGCGAAAGUGACGGUACCUGCAGAAGAAGCUCCGGCUAACUACGUGCCAGCAGCCGCGGUAAGACGUAGGGAGCGAGCGUUAUCCGGAUUCAUUGGGCGUAAAGCGCACGCAGGCGGCCAAGUAAGUCGGGUGUGAAAUCCCGGGGCUCAACCCCGGGCGUGCAUCCGAAACUGCUUGGCUAGAGGUAGGCAGGGGAGAUCGGAAUUCCUGGUGUAGCGGUGAAAUGCGCAGAUAUCAGGAGGAACACCGGUGGCGAAGGCGGAUCUCUGGGCCUUACCUGACGCUCAGGUGCGAAAGCUAGGGGAGCGAACAGGAUUAGAUACCCCUGUAGUCC